AAAGGUAGCUUGCUACCUUACCUAGCGGCGGACGGGUGAGUAAUGCUUAGGAAUCUGCCUAUUAGUGGGGGACAACAUUCCGAAAGGAAUGCUAAUACCGCAUACGCCCUACGGGGGAAAGCAGGGGAUCUUCGGACCUUGCGCUAAUAGAUGAGCCUAAGUCAGAUUAGCUAGUUGGUGGGGUAAAGGCCUACCAAGGCGACGAUCUGUAGCGGGUCUGAGAGGAUGAUCCGCCACACUGGGACUGAGACACGGCCCAGACUCCUACGGGAGGCAGCAGUGGGGAAUAUUGGACAAUGGGCGAAAGCCUGAUCCAGCCAUGCCGCGUGUGUGAAGAAGGCCUUUUGGUUGUAAAGCACUUUAAGCGAGGAGGAGGCUACUUGGAUUAAUACUCUAGGAUAGUGGACGUUACUCGCAGAAUAAGCACCGGCUAACUCUGUGCCAGCAGCCGCGGUAAUACAGAGGGUGCGAGCGUUAAUCGGAUUUACUGGGCGUAAAGCGUGCGUAGGCGGCUUUUUAAGUCGGAUGUGAAAUCCCUGAGCUUAACUUAGGAAUUGCAUUCGAUACUGGGAAGCUAGAGUAUGGGAGAGGAUGGUAGAAUUCCANGUGUAGCGGUGAAAUGCGUACAGAUCUGGAGGAAUACCGAUGGCGAAGGCAGCCAUCUGGCCUAAUACUGACGCUGAGGUACGAAAGCAUGGGGAGCAACAGGAUAAAAUACCCUGGGUAGUCCAUGCCCGUAAACGAUGUCUACUAACCGUUGGGGGCCUUUGAGGCUUUAGU
This 780-nucleotide ribosomal RNA is filed under the name Acinetobacter johnsonii. RNAcentral's name for it is "bacterial SSU rRNA". It matches the Rfam family "Bacterial small subunit ribosomal RNA", at positions 71 to 844 of the family's 1533-position model. The record is from RNAcentral. Lineage: Bacteria; Pseudomonadati; Pseudomonadota; Gammaproteobacteria; Moraxellales; Moraxellaceae.